AUUGAACGCUGGCGGAAUGCUUUACACAUGCAAGUCGAACGGUAGAGGGGGCAACCCCUCGAGAGUGGCGAACGGGUGAGUAAUAUAUCGGAACGUGCCCAGUCGUGGGGGAUAACGUAGCGAAAGUUACGCUAAUACCGCAUACGAUCUAAGGAUGAAAGCGGGGGAUCGCAAGACCUCGCGCGAUUGGAGCGGCCGAUAUCAGAUUAGGUAGUUGGUGGGGUAAAGGCUCACCAAGCCAACGAUCUGUAGCUGGUCUGAGAGGACGACCAGCCACACUGGGACUGAGACACGGCCCAGACUCCUACGGGAGGCAGCAGUGGGGAAUUUUGGACAAUGGGCGAAAGCCUGAUCCAGCCAUGCCGCGUGCAGGAUGAAGGCCUUCGGGUUGUAAACUGCUUUUGUACGGAACGAAAAGACUCUGGUUAAUACCUGGGUCCAUGACGGUACCGUAAGAAUAAGCACCGGCUAACUACGUG
This 479-nucleotide ribosomal RNA is filed under the name uncultured bacterium. Its description in RNAcentral is "bacterial SSU rRNA". It matches the Rfam family "Bacterial small subunit ribosomal RNA", at positions 30 to 507 of the family's 1533-position model. The record is from RNAcentral.